UUGCCAUGAUGAGAAAAACCUAGCUCACUUUGAAAUGAAAUGAAAAGCUACAAAACUUCUGAGCAGA
Small nucleolar RNA from Spea bombifrons (plains spadefoot toad), 67 nucleotides. NCBI's taxonomy places the organism in Eukaryota, Metazoa, Chordata, Amphibia, Anura, Pelobatidae. The record is from RefSeq and is a predicted model, not a curated record.